AGUGAACGCUGGCGGUAGACCUAACACAUGCAAGUCGAACGCCCCGCAAGGGGAGUGGCAGACGGGUGAGUAACGCGUGGGAACAUACCCUUUUCUACGGAAUAGCUCUGGGAGACUGGAAUUAAUACCGUAUACGCCCUACGGGGGAAAGAUUUAUCGGGGAAGGAUUGGCCCGCGUUGGAUUAGCUAGUUGGUGGGGUAAAGGCCUACCAAGGCGACGAUCCAUAGCUGGUCUGAGAGGAUGAUCAGCCACAUUGGGACUGAGACACGGCCCAGACUCCUACGGGAGGCAGCAGUGGGGAAUAUUGGACAAUGGGCGCAAGCCUGAUCCAGCCAUGCCGCGUGAAUGAUGAAGGUCUUAGGAUUGUAAAAUUCUUUCACCGGGGACGAUAAUGACGGUACCCGGAGAAGAAGCCCCGGCUAACUUCGUGCCAGCCGCCGCAGUAA
This 447-nucleotide ribosomal RNA is filed under the name uncultured bacterium. RNAcentral describes it as "partial 16S ribosomal RNA". It matches the Rfam family "Bacterial small subunit ribosomal RNA", at positions 29 to 523 of the family's 1533-position model. The record is from RNAcentral.